GUCUGUGUGGCUCAGUGGAUAGAGCACUGGACUUGGAAUCAGGAAAGAUAUGAGUUCAAAUCUAGCCUCAUACA
Molecule: transfer RNA, 74 nt
Filed under: Monodelphis domestica (gray short-tailed opossum)
Lineage: Eukaryota; Metazoa; Chordata; Mammalia; Didelphimorphia; Didelphidae
Rfam family: tRNA
About the family: Transfer RNA (tRNA) molecules are approximately 80 nucleotides in length. Their secondary structure includes four short double-helical elements and three loops (D, anti-codon, and T loops).
Source: Rfam by way of RNAcentral